This 356-nucleotide RNase P RNA is filed under the name Verrucomicrobiota bacterium. RNAcentral describes it as "Verrucomicrobia bacterium RNase P RNA component class A". It matches the Rfam family "Bacterial RNase P class A". Rfam says of the family: Ribonuclease P (RNase P) is a ubiquitous endoribonuclease, found in archaea, bacteria and eukarya as well as chloroplasts and mitochondria. Its best characterised activity is the generation of mature 5'-ends of tRNAs by cleaving the 5'-leader elements of precursor-tRNAs. Cellular RNase Ps are ribonucleoproteins. The record is from RNAcentral. Lineage: Bacteria; Pseudomonadati; Verrucomicrobiota.
CGAUGGCAGAUGAUCGCUGGUGAACCGGAAGGUUCGCUGGAGGAAAGUCCGAACACCAUACGGCAGCAUGCCGCGUAGAAUACGCGGGCAACGUUCGCGAAAGUGGGCGUUAACGGAGAGUGUCACAGAAAGCACACCGCCGGUUCUUUGAGAAAAGCGCAGGCAAGGGUGAAAAGGCGAGGUAAGAGCUCACCGCUCGCGGAGCAAUUUGCGAGGCACGAAAAACCCCAUGCGGUGCAAGACAAAACAGAGGAAGGGCAGCCGGCCCGAUUUAACCCUCGGGUAUGUCGCUAAGAUAAAUGAUCAUCGUCCCCAAGAAAUUCGGGAGACAGAAUUCGGCUUAUCGCCAUCGAAAA